This is a long non-coding RNA of Lolium rigidum, 655 nucleotides long. RefSeq lists it as uncharacterized. Lineage: Eukaryota; Viridiplantae; Streptophyta; Magnoliopsida; Poales; Poaceae. The record is from RefSeq and is a predicted model, not a curated record. The transcript is spliced from 3 exons.
GUCUCGUCGAUGCCUCCAUCAGCUUCCCGGUGAGUAGACGCACCUCUCAAAGUACUCCAACGUCUCCCUACCGUUUAUUCUGCCCUGCCGGCGUUGACCGCCGUAGCACCCUGCAGAUGGUCGUCGCCGUGAACCUCCGCUGGUCUUCCAGUUCCAAGUCCGCCAAUUACAGGCUCCCCGCGUCCUUCCGCUUCGAACGCACCGGCUUCCUCGUCCUGGCGCGCUCCCAUCCGUCGAGUCCGUCUCCGACCAGAGUACUCCCUGCCAUGGACGUCAUGUCUGAGUUCUACCUGUGCUUCUUUCAAUUGGACACGAUCCUGCUUCCGGUUGGUUCAAAAUAACCGCGGCCUCUUCGUAAACAUGAACCUGUCUUAAACUAGUUGGUUUGCUGGGUGCAUCUGCUGCUGAACCACCCAGAUCUGAAGCGCAGCGCAAUGUGUUGUAUCCUGAAUGUUCACUGUGAGGUGUUGGGUUCAAUUCCAGCCAGGUGCACAUUUUUUGCCAUUCCGAUCUGCCAAUGGGCCUCAGCCUGGAUCCUUCGAUGCUGCCCAUUGCCUGCGCGUCUCUGUAGCCGCAUCAGACGAACUCCGACCCAGUACAAGGCAGCAUUUGCUUCUUCCCGGAUAGGAUCACGAAGUGUUGAUGUGAGAUACGA